CCUACGGGAGACAGCAGUAGGGAAUCUUCCACAAUGGGCGAAAGCCUGAUGGAGCAACGCCGCGUGGGUGAAGAAGGUCUUCGGAUCGUAAAACCCUGUUGUUAGAGAAGAAAGUGCGUGAGAGUAACUGUUCACGUUUCGACGGUAUCUAACCAGAAAGCCACGGCUAACUACGUGCCAGCAGCCGCGGUAAUACGUAGGUGGCAAGCGUUAUCCGGAUUUAUUGGGCGUAAGGGGAACGCAGGCGGUCUUUUAAGUCUGAUGUGAAAUCCUUCGGCUUAACCGGAGUAGUGCAUUGGAAACUGGGAGACUUGAGUGCAGAAGAGGAGAGUGGAACUCCAUGUGUAGCGGUGAAAUGCGUAGAUAUAUGGAAGAACACCAGUGGCGAAAGCGGCUCUCUGGUCUGUAACUGACGCUGAGGUUCGAAAGCGUGGGUAGCAAACAGGAUUAGAUACCCGAGUAGUC
RNAcentral lists this ribosomal RNA (465 nucleotides) under uncultured bacterium. RNAcentral describes it as "partial 16S ribosomal RNA". It matches the Rfam family "Bacterial small subunit ribosomal RNA", at positions 338 to 795 of the family's 1533-position model. The record is from RNAcentral.